AGAGUUUGAUCCUGGCUCAGGACGAACGCUGGCGGCGUGCUUAACACAUGCAAGUCGAGCGAGGCCCUCCUUCGGGGGGUGCCCUAGCGGCGAACGGGUGAGUAACACGUGGGCAACCUGCCCUCAGCUCUGGGAUAACUCCAAGAAAUUGGUGCUAAUACCGGAUGUGACCGCUGCCGCAUGGUCUGGUGGUGGAAAGAUUCAUCGGCUGAGGAUGGGCCCGCGGCCUAUCAGCUUGUUGGUGGGGUGAUGGCCUACCAAGGCGACGACGGGUAGCCGGCCUGAGAGGGUGACCGGCCACACUGGGACUGAGACACGGCCCAGACUCCUACGGGAGGCAGCAGUGGGGAAUAUUGCGCAAUGGGCGAAAGCCUGACGCAGCGACGCCGCGUGAGGGAUGACGGCCUUCGGGUUGUAAACCUCUUUCAGUAGGGACGAAGCGCAAGUGACGGUACCUACAGAAGAAGCACCGGCCAACUACGUGCCAGCAGCCGCGGUAAUACGUAGGGUGCAAGCGUUGUCCGGAAUUAUUGGGCGUAAAGAGCUCGUAGGCGGUUGGUCGCGUCGGCUGUGAAAACCCGGAGCUCAACUCCGGGCCUGCAGUCGAUACGGGCCGACUUGAGUGUUGCAGGGGAGACUGGAAUUCCUGGUGUAGCGGUGAAAUGCGCAGAUAUCAGGAGGAACACCGGUGGCGAAGGCGGGUCUCUGGGCAACAACUGACGCUGAGGAGCGAAAGCGUGGGGAGCGAACAGGAUUAGAUACCCUAGUAGUCC
RNAcentral lists this ribosomal RNA (773 nucleotides) under uncultured bacterium. RNAcentral's name for it is "bacterial SSU rRNA". It matches the Rfam family "Bacterial small subunit ribosomal RNA", at positions 8 to 796 of the family's 1533-position model. The record is from RNAcentral.